AGUCUUACCUGGUGGGGGAAUACCACAAUCAAAAAGGUGGUUUCCCCAGGGCAAGGCUCUUCCAUUUGACACUUCAUUCGGGUUGAUCCCUGUGAUUUCUCCAAAUGUUGGAUACGCAAUUGCGUAAUUUAUGGUAUCAUUUAUUAUCGUUAUUAUUGUACU
Small nuclear RNA from Protopterus annectens (West African lungfish), 162 nucleotides. RefSeq annotates it as U1 spliceosomal RNA. NCBI's taxonomy places the organism in Eukaryota, Metazoa, Chordata, Ceratodontiformes, Protopteridae. The record is from RefSeq and is a predicted model, not a curated record. The transcript has a single exon.